Molecule: ribosomal RNA, 497 nt
Filed under: uncultured bacterium
Lineage: Bacteria
Description: partial 16S ribosomal RNA
Rfam family: Bacterial small subunit ribosomal RNA
Source: RNAcentral
GACGAACGCUGGCGGCGUGCCUAAUACAUGCAAGUAGAACGCUGAAGAGAGGAGCUUGCUCUUCUUGGAUGAGUUGCGAACGGGUGAGUAACGCGUAGGUAACCUGCCUUGUAGCGGGGGAUAACUAUUGGAAACGAUAGCUAAUACCGCAUAACAAUGGAUGACACAUGUCAUUUAUUUGAAAGGGGCAAUUGCUCCACUACAAGAUGGACCUGCGUUGUAUUAGCUAGUAGGUGAGGUAAUGGCUCACCUAGGCGACGAUACAUAGCCGACCUGAGAGGGUGAUCGGCCACACUGGGACUGAGACACGGCCCAGACUCCUACGGGAGGCAGCAGUAGGGAAUCUUCGGCAAUGGGGGCAACCCUGACCGAGCAACGCCGCGUGAGUGAAGAAGGUUUUCGGAUCGUAAAGCUCUGUUGUAAGUCAAGAACGGGUGUGAGAGUGGAAAGUUCACACUGUGACGGUAGCUUACCAGAAAGGAACGGCUAACUACGUG